Gallus gallus (chicken) is the source of this 18781-nucleotide long non-coding RNA. RefSeq lists it as uncharacterized. The record is from RefSeq and is a predicted model, not a curated record. Lineage: Eukaryota; Metazoa; Chordata; Aves; Galliformes; Phasianidae. The transcript is spliced from 7 exons.
AGAGUAAGUAGGAGGCAGGCUCAAAACAAAAGGUAUUUCAUAUGGUGUCAGCAGAGCAGAGGCACAGACAGCUGUGCUCCCUUUGGGGUGCUAUGAUACUUUGGCAUGGCAUGGAGUAGGGAGAUCAUCAGCAAACACAUUAAAGGUUGCUAACAAAUUUGGUUAUAGCAUCUAUUUAGUGUUCUGAGAAAAUGCAUAUGCUUAAUGUGUGAUUAUUGGGUGUGUGGAAGAGGUAACAAUCCAAUACUUGCAUUCUAGAUUAUAGAUUUUAUAAAUAAAUUGUAUGUUUUUACCUCAGAAAACGCUGUGAAUCUCAGGCUAAUGAUUUUCAGGCCACUGCCCUUGAAAUUUAUCUCUGUAUUUCGUUACAAAUUACUUCAUCUGGGGCACCUGAUAACACCUGCAGUAGCAAUGUGUGCAGUUGAGUGGCAUCAGGCUAUUGUUGGUAAUAGAAAGUAAUAUUUAAUCAAUACUGCACAACCUUACUGCAUGGCUGUGGUCUAAGGAAGAAUAUGAGGUCCAGCCCUCCCUGGGCUCAUUUAAAGGCUAGCCUCGGAAGGAGCAACAUCUGCUGGAUGAAGGCUGCUACCUGAGAAGGAGUGUUCUACAGGCAGAGACCCUGGUUGUAACAGAAAGGCUCUGACACUUGAAGGUUUCCCUAGGGCAAGGCUUGAGAACGAUCACCCACUGGCUGUCCCUGCAUAUGAAGGUUUGGCUUCCAGACCGCGAGGACAAGCAUUGCUGCUGUAACCUGGUGAUCCCGUGCUGAUGGACACGACCAGAACCCACUCAUCCUGCAUCCAGAGCCCCAGCGCUGGAAGCCACAGGGUGUCUGGCUGUGCUGCUGCUGCAAUUCCAACAGAUGUUAAUUCUAUGCUUCACGAAGCCUGAUGGAUGCUGCUGUGUUAUGACAUCCGAGCAGGCUCCUCCAUCAGACCCCAAGUCUAACCCCAACCACCCCAUCAUGCCCAUGGAACUACACCCCUUGGUGCCACAUCCCCAUGGUUCCUGAACACCACCAGGGAUGCUGACCCCAACACCCCCUGGGCGGCUGUGCCAGUGAAGAAAGGGAAUCACCUUUGUUUCUCUGACUGACCCACUUGAGGAACUCAAGCAAGAGUUUGGGCAGCGAAAUCCUUCAGCACAGGGAGGACACGAGUGCCUUGCAGACACCUCCCGCAGCACGUCAGCCAGCACCAGAUCAAUCCCAUCCCUAAUUGCCUGCAGCCCCUGCCCUGAGCUGGGACACCAUGGCAGGUGUGGGAAGGGGCUGGUGCCCACACUGGCAGCUGUAGACGAGGGAUGACGCAUCAGAACGCUGCCACAGAGCCCUGCAGGUGUGUAAUCCACAUGCAAAGGAGCCCCUGGGAUGUCAGCGGUGGCUGUGGUGAGUCAGAGAUCACACAGUGAGGCUCAUCUAGAAUGGUUCCUCAGCCCUUAGCAAACUGGAGCACUGCACCUGAAGGCUGUGCUUGAUGGCUGUGGCACGUUCCUCAGAUGCAGGCAGAAGAGGCGGUGCGGGAUCCUCUCCUGCCUUUGCAGCCUUUUCUGGAUGUGGCAAGAGCUGAGAGGGGUGGCACAAGAGCAUGAUGCUGUUUGGGUUCACAAGGCAAAAAGUAGCCCAGACAGACACACUGACCCACAGUAAUGAUGCACAGGAGAACCAAUGCAGUACUGAACAAGGGCUCCUCCAUCUGCCUCCCCCAGCGUGCCCCAGGCAUUUGCACAGUGGUCCACAUGGAGCUAACCCUGAGCACGGGCCACCACCCAGGGGUGCUUCAGUCCCACCCUGGUUCUCAGUGCUUACCUGGGUGAGGAUGAGAGCCCAUCAGGAAGGAUGUUUUCACAUUACAAUUGGAGUUUUGAGAUCUCUGCUAUUCUUUUCUCACUUUUUUUUUUUUUCUUUAAGAGAACAGGUUAUCUGAAAUAAUCCAUCAUCAAAAAGUCCCUGCACCUUUGUCCUCCUUAUCUGAAAUGGUCUGUAUCCCUCCCCCACUGGGGGACUGGCUCACUGCAGGGCAGUUGGACUAGGUGGCCUUUAAGGGUCUCUUCCAACUCAAACCAUUCUGUGAUUCUAUGAUAAAACACGUAUCUAUAUGGAUAGUCAUUCUCUCAAGAUUAGAGUUGGUUCAUUCUGGAACCAUUAAAAUGGGGGCAUCUGAUCAUUCCAAGUUUUUUUCCCGGACCUUUUUAAGAGUAAGAACAGCAAGUUUGCUGUAAUUGGCCUUUUUCCCAGGCAUGGUGCCGUGAGUCAGCGCUUUCUGGCCAGCACAUCCCCUUCCUCCUCAUAUACUCUCUACCAGAUCCAGCAAAGAAAGCCUGAGCAUGGAAGCAUCUCAGAGAACUCUGCGUGUGCAUCCUCACGUAGACCCAUCUCUCGCAAUACAACCCUGCUUGUUGCACUGGGGCUUUUGGCUUUGGUACAUCAGCUCCUGCUUCAUUUAGUCUAAGAGCUCUGAGCUUCUCUACCAGAACAAAACUGCUGCCACAAAAUAUUUUCAACUGGGAGGAAAAUGUGGCUUAUUUUAUACAAAAUGAGAUACAUCCGUUUACAUCAGCUGUGGGAUUGUACUGUACCUUUGAGCUACGCACUGAAUUCCUUGUGGCAAUCCCAGGUACCAAUGGGAUGAGUACAUCCUACAGUUUAUCUAGAAAGAAUAAACCAGGGGAGCCCCCAUACGCAGUGUUGAAAAUUAGGGUCUGGUGGGUGAACUCACUGCCCAUCCAUCCCUUAUUUUGUUCUAUCAGCGGGGCAGGAGGAAUCACACCACACCAACAAAACCAGCCAAAGCAAAUAAAGCAAGAUUCUCUCUUCCUCUGGGCUUUUAUUUGCUGAUGACUAAGCCUAAGCUCUUCAACCUUAGGUAUGAAUUCUGAUCAACACAGCACAAGGGUUUUCUAAAUACAAACAGAAAAAAAGCCACCAAGUAAUUACCCUCAACCAGCCAAGCUCCUUGCAACCUAUGCUGCAGCACUGAGCUCUCACACCUGCACUGAGAGGGUGACCACCCCAGUGCAAAGCAAGAGCAUGAAGAGAGGGGGAGUAUGAGUACAAGGGGGUGAAAGGAAAUGGAUGCUGAUGUUCACAGGCAGAAGGGCAUCUCUGGACAACAGGGACCAGCAGUGUCUGAUUGCACAGCUGGGCUUCUCCAGGCAGCACAAGCAGUGUCUCCACCACAUAUAAAUAAUGCUCUUUCACCCACACCAGGAUGUGCUGUAACAAAUUGUGGGUCCCUCCGGCAAACUGUUCCACAAAACUUGCAAACUUUUUUUCACUCUGUCCACAAGAUACACUCUGUUGGCAAAUCAGGGACAGAGAUGAAGAAAAAUGCUCUUCACAAGUAUUUCUUAAACCCUCCAGCCAAACUGGCUGGUGAGUGUAACAGGCCAGGAUGAUGUGCAAAUACAGAGGAAUAUCCAGAGUGAGAUUACUGCACUGAUCUCCUUUGCAGGGAUGUGUAGGUGUGGAAGAGUCAGCAGGCUGUUGCUGAGAUGCGGGACCCUACCAAUGGAGCAGAGACAGCUGAGAAGGUGGAGGGAAGGAGAGGGAAGCAGGAGAAGAAAACUUCCAAGUGCCUUUUUGAAUUCUAAGUUUUCUUGGACUUGCUCAGCUCUAAUCUUUAAUUCAUAAUUUCAUUACAGUCUCUUUGCUCUGUAAAGUCUGCAUUUCAUGUAAAAGGAGCAGCUCAAACAUCAAUUAUUUGACAUAAGUCAACCCCUUGUUAAAGUCCCCUACUCUACAUAUAUGUUGGCUCCAAUAAAAGAAGCAUUAAACAUUCAUUAAAUUAGAAAUACAUGAAGACAGUGUCAUGCCUCUCUUCUCAUACAGAUAUGCCUAAUAAGCCCAACCUUCCAGAGCAGUGAAAGCAAAACCAUCUCUAAUCCUUUUAGAAAGCCUGACCAUGCAAAGCACCCCAGUCUUCUGCAAUUUGCCUGUGAGUCACCCAGAGAAAUUAGCUACUGCAGGUCAGAUCCUCAGCAGGAGUAAAUGUGAGUCAGCCCCUCUGCCGGGGUUACACCGAAUACCACAGACCCGGGAUUUGGCUGUGGGGUUCUCUUGCAGCAAAAUGGUUUACAGCAAUGUAAUUGGAUAAAAAUGUCAUUUUUAGUCUUCUGCUUUAAACCCAGAAUUCAGUUAGGUGGGGAAUUGCAGUAACCACACCUGCUUGGAUUUCAGUACUGUCCAGUCUGCUUGUGCUCUGCAGCAGGCUCCCAACCUCAGCCUAGGACCUUCUUCUCCAAAAAUAACCCAACCAACCCACCCCCUCCUCUACAAAACACCACCAUGACGAUAGUGGAUCUUGAACCACUGCCGCCGUAGACUUGUGCACACAAAUUUCAGCAAUGUUUUCGCAAGGGGUCACCCCUGGUAAGCAGAUACUUCUUCACAACCAUCUCCAUUUGAAGAACAAUGCAUGCCACGUAUAACAUAUUUCCCACACCUCUGUGAUCUGGGUCUGUUUCACAAGAGCUUUGGAGCAAGUCCCAUCCAGCAAACAGCUUCUCACCAUCCUGCCAUUUAGGAUGCUGGAAGACAUUCAUUCCAAGCUCUGCUUGAAAUGGAGGCAUGGGAACACGUUUAGGAUCCUGGGUACAAAUUCAGGAUAGCAGCUUUUAGCUCCUGCCAUCUCCUUCUAAGCUUCAGGAAGUGGUAUAUUCAACCCAGCUCUGCCGAUGACAAGCUUUGGGAGAUUUAUCCAAAGCUCUUCACCAAUUCUAGAUGGCUUCCAAAAGCUGUGUCCACAGGGUGCAGGUCACAGUCCUGAGUAUAUUUAAGCUGGAAAAUCCAACUGUGUGAGACUUCCAAAACCAAUUGAGGGCUUCAUGGAUACCUCCGCACUUCGCUCUCAUCAGAAAAUUUGGCAUCUAUCUGCCUUUAAACACUUGGCCCGAAGUAAUGGAGGUGAACAAACACCACUGAAAAUCAAUUUCAGUGAAAUAACUCCUUUUUAAAGGAACGGUAAAGUAAGCAUUGAAGUGUUUUGUCAGGUCAAUCAUGGCCUAGUCCAAAUAUACUGCCUUGUUUUCAGUCUUGAUCUUUUACCAGCUUUCAAAUCAAUCCCUUUCUUCCUCGGUUGCUAAUCAAAUCGCUCCUUUAAUUGAGCUAACAGGGCACCACAGUUUAUGUUCCUGCUGGUAAGCACAAAGAACAUUAGCUGACAAACAAUCAAAAAAGCAUCCUUUGUAGUAGCAGGAAUUUUCUUCCAUGUUCAAGCUUCAAAAGCAUUGAUUUUCAUAGCUAGGCAUGAAGCCUUGACGGGCUUUGCCGUCACAAUGUUAAGGCAGCUUCUACAAGUUCUGCAAAAAUGGAAGAACUCUCCUGACUUGUGUUGGUGUCCAAAAUGGAAGACUCUUGGUUCAGGAUGGAGGCUCUACAUCUACACAUAAGGCUGCGAAGCAUCCCCCCGUCCCCACAUGCUGGGCAAAUGCUGCUUGAAGAGGGGUAAAUCCCUCCUCCGGCCCCUUGUGUGCCAUUGGGAUGGGCUGCUCAUGGCGAUGGGGUCAACUGAGUGCUCAAAAAUCCAUCUGGCUUCCACAAAUACUUUACCAACCACAAGCAAAAGCGUGACACGGCCACGCUGCUCUACCAGCUCAUUCUCCAGGACCUAUGGAUGGAGUUGUGGUGUCCAGCAAGGUCCAGUGUGGGGAUACGUCUUCGUCUUGGUCGGCCACGCUCAGCUUGCAUCUGCACAAGCAAUCAGCAUAUUGCAUAGACUUUGACUGAAGGGUUUUUAACUGCAACCUUAAAAUCUGGCCAUUUCAGGACUUCCUGAAAUAAAUUAGAAGAGGAAUUUUAUUUAGUUUUUUUUUUUUUUUUCUCCUAAAGGAAUUUCCCCAUGGCUCCAAACCAAUGUUUUCCAUAAAGCAAAUGAAUAUGAAGUCUUCUCAUGUCGUCUUGCCACAUUUUCUGUGUUGUCUUUAUUCAGCAACAGUUGCACAUAAUCAAAUGGCAGACAAAACAUCCUCUCCCCCAGACCUUCAUUUUUUCCUCACACUUUCAAUAACUUUUCUCCUCAUCUCAUCGAUUUUUUUGUCAAUGACCAUGUAAGAAGCAGAUGCUUUCCAAAACAAUCACCUGGAGAGUCAGCGAUCCACAUCUUGCAGAUAAAUAACAAGCUCUAUUUAUGCAAUAAAGCACCGGUAACAUAAUAUCCAGGCAAUGGGUUAUAUGAUAUUAAAAUCUUGGCACACUUCAAGAUAUCUGAUAAUUCAGAACAAUGAAGACUAUGUGGGGAUGUUCCUUCUGUCAGCACUGGUUAACAACUAGCACUGUUAAUCCAUUGCCUUCACUUAAAAUACAAUAACUGAUUUACAUUCAUAUGGAGCCCUUUCUCCCCCUAAAUCCCAAAGGGCUUUGCAAAAUUAACACCCUGCACUGCUCCUGCAGCACAGUACCUAGGAGCUGCUUGGGUUCUCUUCUGCUUCAGAAGGAACAGCUAUGGCCAGUGACUAAAUGGGCAAUAUCUAGGCAACAAGGUUUUGCUGUGAGGCCUCCCCACCCAAAUGAAAGCUGUCUAAUUUAUAGAAGUAGAAUAGGUUUAAUGAACGUGCUUUCUCCUGGUGGAUGGCAGGUUGGGAGCAGCCAGGCCUGGGGGCUGCCUGCUCGCGUCUCCAAAUCAUCUCCCCAGGUUGUCCACCUGAAGGCACAUGGAGCCAAUUGGGGCACCUCUCUGGUUCUUGGGGACGUCAAAAAACCACCUGCUUAGGAAAAAAAAGACAUUUCCACAGACUGCUUACUAGGAAAAGGCAGCCCCGAAGGUCAGCCCCUGCGUGUUGUUCUACAAAGCGCCAUGCAAAAUCCACUUUGGGACAAAUGUAAGGCAUGUUUGUUACAGGAAAGGCUGCCCUUGGCUCUGAUGCGCUGGGACAAUCCAACAGGGAUCUUCUGGGCAAAACACACGGUGUGACAGAAGGAACAGGCUGGGCUGUAGAAUGCUUAUUUCAAAUUAACUCCAACUGAGAAAUAAUGAGCAGCAAGUUUACGUUCUCAGUAAAUUAAGAGAGCAGCUUAGGUAAACUGUGGCUUUAUGUGCACAUAAAUAAAUUAUUAUUUACUCGGUUUUGUGCUCAUGCCCUUAAAUACAAAGAUGCUCGUAUGGAAUUAAUAUUUAUAGCACAUUAUAAUAAAUAUCUGUAACAGCUUCACCUGAAUAUACGCUAUUUCACCAAGGUAAAAUCUGCUGAAGGUCAAAGCAAUCUUUUACUUGUGUAUGGAGGGCAGGAUCAGCCUCUUUACUUUGAAAUCUGCAUCAACUGCGAUAAUUUAAAGCUUUAAUUAAAGACUGGGUGUCAGAUUAUCUAGGAAACGUCUCCCUGCUGCCCAGUAUUUCAUCAGGGAUGGCUCCAGAAGCCCACACUGGAGUAAGCACACUGACCAGGACGUAUUUAGCUUUUAUCUGUCUUACUGCGUAACCAAUGCUUUGGUUGAGGGUUGGUGGCAUCAAAAAUUGAAUUAAGAGGAAAAGCCUCCAAAUAGACCCCCAAAUAGAAACAUACGGCGCUUAUUCUGCUCAUCCCUCAAGUAAAUGAAAGUGCCAAGGCAAAGCCUAAUAUUUUAGCAAUUUUGUUAAUGCAUGUGUAAAUGGGCGAAGGCGCCUUUGAAAUGCUCUGAAAAGGAUUUCACACUUCAGAGAGGGGAAAAAAGUUAACAAUUCUAUUGUGGCUCUUAUUGGAAUUUUUAAAUUAAUUUCCCGGACACAGCUGUGCCAUAGAAUCCCCCACGACAACAAAUUUUUGCUAAAGCUGAGAUUAUUUUCGGAUACGAUUCUGAAGGAGCAAUUUGUGAAACUGGGAGCAGGGUGGGCCCCUGGGAAUCCCUCCACCCUCUGCUCUCCUCCAGCCCUUCCUCAUGCACUGUGAGCCUCGUUUGAAACCACAUCUGGUUUUUAUUCCACAUUGUUUUUUGCCUCUGCAGAGCAAAAGGAGGAGGGAUGCGCCAUGGCUUUGCAAAGUACAGGGGGGGAAGAGAUGAGCGAUGAUAUGGUAGGGAUCCCUCCUGUCAUAGAAUCAUAGAAUGGCCUGGGUUGAAAGGACCACAGUAAUCAUCCAGUUUCAACCCCCCUGCUAUGUGCAGGGUCGCCAACCAGCAGACCAGGCUGCCCAGAGCCACAUCCAGCCUGGCCUUGAAUGCCUGCAGGGAUAGGGCAUCCACAACCUCCUUGGACAAUUUGUUCCAAUGUGUCACCACCCUCUGACUGAAAAACUUCCUCCUAAAAUCCAACCUAAACCUCCCCUGUCUCAGUUUAAGACCAUUCCCCCUUGUUCUAUCACUAUCCACCCUCAUCCCUACAAACUCACCAGAUGGUUCUAGACCAUGUCCAAAGGACUAAUGGAAAGGCAAAUAGCAACCCCGCAGUGAUGCAUAAAAGACUUAACAACCACAUGCCAUCAUAAUGAGAGCUGACUUAUGGGGAGGAACAAACAGAGGUUUGGAAACAAAGAGUGUGAUGUCAGGGGGGAAAGGAUGACACCUGGGCAUGCCUAUAGCCCUAGGUGCAGGGAGAUGGGGAUUGUGGGGAAGAUUUCUGCUUGGAAAGGCUGUGGCAUGAGCUGCAGGAUUGCUUGUGGACAGGAGGGAUGGCACAGCCCACAGCAGCCCCGAGCUGGACUUCAACACUGGGAGGCACGGUUUCCAUCCCAUAGAGGAGAGAGUUAACAACAGCUGACACACUUUUGUCUGGAGAAGUUACAGCGCCUUGAAAUAACAUCUCGGGGCCAUAAUUCUGCGGUCUGUCACUACCAGGAAACGUGAAAGCCAGUGACCUUUCAUCUCCACGACAGAAAUGCUGCGCAGCACCUGGAGCCAUCGCCCUCACAAUGUGCUCUGACAAACAGGGCCACGGGACCCCCGAAAAUCACCUCCUGCUGAACUCUGCUCUGGGUCCUUCGCCAAGCAGAGCUGGCUUUGCGCGAGCUGCACCGCGCUUAGCAAGGCAAGAGACAACAGUUCAGUAUUUCUUUUGACAAUAAGGGAUAAAUCUGCUUUUCAGACUGAUCUUAAACGAUGGCGGAGGGAGGGAAAUUGAUAUUGGCUUUUUAUGAAUCUUCGGGUCAGGUACGUUCAAGUCAACAGAUUUUUGCAUUAACCUCACUGCUUUGCAGCACUUUUGCCCUUGGCAAGACAUAAUUAAGAAAGGCACGAAAAUCUAUCUGAACGUAUCAAGAGGAAAUUAUUCUCCACUUAAUGGCAGCAACAACUAAGCAAGCAGGCAGACCACGCUGCUAGCAGAGCGCAGCAAAUGAUGCAGGGCUCUGUUUUAACCCCAAACACCAAAAUUUUAAGGAUCAGCUUCUGAAAUGAGGAUUUGCACUACGUGUGGUUCCGGGGAUUAACUUUUUCUUCCCCCCAACAGCUAUAUCCCUUCAGCUCUUCUCUUUGCCAGUCUAAAAGGAUGACCGCAGACACUGAGGCUGAGCUAAAACCUUUUCAUCACACUGAGACAUGGCACUGUAAUGUCUUCACUGCUUUGGUAGGAAGCAAAAGCUACUAGAUGGAAGGGGGGGGGGGGGGGAAAUAGACAUUAAAGAAAAAGGGAGUUUGGUCAUUUAAGUAGGACUGUCAGCUUGUGUUAUCUUCAUGCAUUUGUGAAACCAAACUUUAAUUGACUGGCUGCAGUGGAGAGCUGAAAGAUAAAAUUGUGGUCUCAAGAUGAGCAGACAGCAUAAAGCGUUGUGAUCCUCAUUCAUUAGGAUUUGUCAGAGGGUUUCAGAGGGGAAGAGAUGCAGCCGUCUCUGUUAUUCUUUCAUAUGAAGUUACCAAAACAUUAGAGUGAGGCAGAGGGUUGGCUCUGCUCUUGAAGCCGCAUCCAAGAAGAGCAACAUGGGAUAACAGAGACUAUUUUGGCACCACCUUAUUUCUGUCUCUUUGUGAAUUAUUUCAUUCUGCUUCUGAAGGAUAAAGUCCACAGCACCUGCACGCAGAUAUAACCCAAAGGAUGACCACACCACCGCAUCGCCUUCAUUCACUGUAAGCCCUGGUCUCCCUGGCCCCAGAGACACCCAAGGUGUGUAGGCUGCUUUUAAGAGGGUGUUAAGAAAUACUUCCCUGCCUAAACUAGGUUUCAGAGAGCUUUGUAUCUGUGUCUUCAACAGGAGAGGGAAGAGAGGAGUAGAGAAACUCAAGAAACCCAUGGACAAAGCCCCAGUAAUGGGCCCUUUGGCAUCUAGCUGAGGGUCCAACCACUACCCUGUACCCUGGAAUUCUUCAUUUACUGGAGGAAACAGUCAUGGUGGGGAAGGGUUGGUAGGGAAAUGCAGCAACUCCUAGACUUCUGUGAAGACACCUUUGAGUGUGUACUCCUGAGAAACCUGAGCAAUGCUCACAGCUUGGAUUUGUGGGAUGUGAACCAGCAUGGAACCCUGUAUGCAAAGGGAACACAGAGGUGGUCAGACACACACUAACGCUGUUCAUUUGGGUUUAAAUGAGCCUUCCUGUAAAUGCUUGCCUGGUGACAGACAUGGAGAUGGCCAGUGCAACUCCCAGUGCAGGGUACCUCUCAACAGUCUUCUUCUAGUGCUGGAUGGGACACCUCACACCCUGCCACGAUGGGCCAUACCCCCAAGAUGCUGGAUAUAGCUGGCUAAAACACCUUCUCUCUGAAGUUCGUUGAUGACAAGCUAAUGACAUUUCCUAUUGGACAUUUUUCUGCUUUUCAAUAACAACAUAAAAUCCUAAACAAAAACCUUAUAAAACAUUCUGGAGCCAAAAUCAAGAUUUCAUGUAGACAUCUGGAUUUCAAUAUCAUUGGCAUACCUUUCCAAACUGCUCAGAAUUUUUUCCAAUUCCUUAAGUAGGAAUACUUUGGAUUUCCAAUAGUUUGCUUUUUCUCUGCCUCAGAAGACCAGAAAAUGUGCCAAAAAUGUUAUUUCUCUGUAAACAUUUUCAUUUGUGAUUCAAAAGCAACUGUUACUCUUUCAUUCUACAGUGGUGAUGAGUGUAAGCGGAAAUAUGUAAGGAUAGCAAAUUCUAAACAUGAGAAGAUGAGCUGAUGCAGCCACUUAUAUGUUAAGAAAGCCAUGAAAAAGUUUAUGUGAAGCCAGCUCACUUCUCGAUCUGUCUUCAUAUCUACAUUAGGAGAAAGGUACUUUUGCAGAAAUGUAUGUAUCUAAGGGCUGUGGAAUGGGACCAGAGAGACCUUCUUGGAAACAGAUUUAUUUUCCAAAGAGGUACUUUCAGCCAUCCCAAAGCCUUUCUUGGAAGUAUUGCCAAAUCCAAGACCAAUUCAUGAAACUGUUUCAGCAAGACAGUGAGGGCCAACACUAUACACACAGACUCCAGCACACAACUUACAGUGUUACUGGCUUGGCCAGAGUUUUAGCAGACCCAGAGGGAGUUUUGUCAUUGAUCUCAAUGAGUUUUCCCCUUUCCUUAAGUAAUAAUCACUGGCACUUAAUGCAGGGACAAAGAUUCUGCUCUUUCCUUGGAUACUUGAUUUCACGUGAGACUAACCAUGAGAAAAAAAUAAAGCAACGACAUGAAAUGACCAACACCAACAUCAUGACUCAAUCCUAAAAAGCCUUACUUAAGCCAGCAAACCCACCAACGUCAAUGAGACACAGGGCAGAAAGGGGAGCCUUAAUUUUCAGAGCCACUGUCUCGUGUCUGACACCCACACACAAGGAGAAGUCACAGCUCCGGUGCCAGUCUGUGCCAAUGGAAGCAAACCUCUUGGCGAUGCAUCAGUAAUGACAUUUAAUGAAAUGUUUCCUUUAUAUCUCUGUUAAAGCCAAUACAGUACUUUCUUACCAUUUUUGCAGACCGGACAACACUGCUCUGGUUCAUAGACCGGGUUGACACACUCGGGAACUGCGCAGUCUGCUACAACACAGUGAACUUCAUUGCUGGGCUCGCAGCGACACCAUUCGCAUGGCGAGGGCUAGGAACAAAUCUCAAAUUAGCCCAUUUCCUCCCGUAGCUCAAAAGUUUGCAACAUUUCUAUCUUGCCAUAAGAUAAACACAUCAACGUUUAAUACCUCUUGACUGCAUUGGUUCAUCAUGGGUAAUACAAAUCGACCUAUAGGACAAAAUAGCAACAUCUGAAAUAGGCAACCCAAACAUCAGAAAAAGCAGUCAAUGUGAUGUUUUUCCCAGAGAGGGUGCAUGGUUGUUUUUAAUCUUUUGCCAGACUUGAAUUUUCUUUCAGUAGGAAGACCAAGCAGAGGCCACCAGGUCAGAUGAAGCGUCCUACGUGCUCAUGUGACAUAUAGCACCCAGCUCUGCUCUGUUUGUUAUAUAGGGUCUUUGGAAGACCAUGAAUGGUGGCUUUUCCCAGGAACAGACAGAUCCAGAAGGACAUGCUGAUCUUCCAGAUCACACUCAUUAUCCCACGUAGACCACCACAGGCAGCAAGCCCCAGGCUGUCAGUAAGAUGCUGUGGGGCUGGCCCUUCCAUCAACCAGCCCCUCCAUGGGUUUGGCUUCCAGUUCUCAGAGCACAUGAGAAUGGUGUUGGAGGGGCAAAAACAUUCAAUUCUGUAUUUGUGCAGGACCUGAAUCGAGGGUCUGUAAGCACUCCUAUAACACAACCAUCAGACCUGGCCCUGGCCCCGCUUCUGCCUGUUUCAACAAGGUUUGUGAGAAAGUGCUUUGCACUGAGCAUGUGAAUAAUUAAGAGCCUGAAUAACUGCUGAAGUCAGUGAAUUUGGGAUUAAAGCACCCAGCUAAAUGGCUUUGUUUAAGCUCCAUCAAUUCAAACAGGAAUCUAUAUGCCUCCAAAUGGUAGAGUUGUCACUGUCUCGCUCCAAGAGAAGCUGUGAAAAUCUGUUGAAAAAUAGAAAGGUCAGCGUGCAAGGCUCCCAAUACCCUUAUGUGUCUGCAAGUGCGAUGAGAGAGUGGCAACAGAGCUAAGGACACCAAGGAACCUGAAAGGAAAAAAACAUCCUUUUGGUACCUGUGGGUUCAAGGUCUAACUCCCAGCUCCUCAGCAAUGGUAGAUCCAUUGCUAACACUUGAGCUAGUAAAUGUGAGUGUUGGAACAAAUCCUGCUUUAUAUCGCUGGGAAUCUGCAGCAGUGGGAUUUCCUCUGCAUUCAAAACAAGCAAGUGGAUGCAAACGAAAAAAGGCAUCAUCCCCAUGUGCUUCAAACCUCAGUGAUGCAUCACUCACAUCUACAAGACAGGCACAACCCCGUGAGCCCUGGUUCUGGCAGGUAAAAAGCUUUUCACUUCACCUCUAAGAAGCUCCAUAUGUCUCGCGUCAAAUAAUUUAUUCCCUGGAAAUUCAUUUCUACCUUAAAAUGCACUAAUUAAAGCCUCCCUUGCUUUGUCUCAGCAUCUGCAGUCUAUAAUUCCCAUCACCUCUUAUUUGCUCACGGCUUUGGCAAUUUAGAUAAAAUCAGCACUCCUUGAGCAAGGGAAGAAGUCUGUGGAGGUGGAAUUCCUCUCUCUAAUUAUCUUUCCUCAUUCAAUCCUGCUUUGAUUUCUGUCUGAAGCACCAGGAAUCUAAAUUCAUUUGACUGACAUUUCUUAUUCAAGGCUAUUUAAUAAGAAGAAACAAUGCAAAAGAAAAUAGACAGAACUAUUUGCUGAGGGAUCAAUAAGAAAAUUGCUGCUUUGUUUUUACUCAUUUUAAUCGCUAAUUAUAUGGAGCAGUAGAAGUAGAUCUUAUGAUUCGUGGAGGCUUUCAGUGAUGUAUUCUUCAGGGCUUGCCCCCACCUCCACUACUCCAGUAGCUGCAAUUCUAAGAAAUAAUGUGGUGCAUUUUCAGGACUGCAGCUCAAACUAUUGCUUGAAGAGGAUCAGCAGAUGCAGAAGAUGCCCCUGAACAACCGUGCAACUGAGUAAAUGAGACAUGACAUACACAUCUUUUGCUAUUGUGUUGUCGGUGUAACUUGAAAAUGACACUGUAAUAAACCAUGAUGCUGCUUGACACUGAAAGCAGCUUUUCAGGAGGGAAGAACUGCAUACAAUUAUCAGAAUAAAAGCAUGCCUUGCUAGUGCAAGGAGCAGGCAGACAGCAAACAAAAAGGCUGCUCUGGCAUGAAUGGCAGGACUUUCUCAGCCACCUCCUCUUCCCCACCUUACCAAGGUCAAACGACAUGGUCUUGACUCCAGGAUCUCCCUCUGUUUGAGCACUUUGUUCAUUUACUGGUGCCUCUGCACUGUGGCUUGCCUCCACGGAUGACUCCAGCCUUCCUACCCACUUCCUUUAUGAACAUCACAGCACCCUCUCCCACUGGGUGUGCCUUGGGAUCACUUUACAGGAUCUACCAUGCAGCUCUGCCGAUCUUCACAAGUUCCAGAAUCUAGAUUUAAACAUCUAUCACCUGUGGAAGAUGGAUGGUUUAUCCUUUUGUAUCUGCUGAACUUCAUCCACUAGUCAACACCAGUUCCUGAGAAGAUGCUCCCAUCACUACUGAAAAACAAGGUUGAAAAAUUACAGAGGGUUUCUUUAGUAUGAUAGAGAAAGGACACAAAUCAGAGGCUAUGCCACAUUCCCACAUGGACAGUGAAUGCACUUUAUCGUGUCCCAUGAGAUGAUGCUCUGGGAAAAAGUGCUAAGAUUAAAGGAUCAUAAAAGGCUUGGGCUAGAAGAUGAUUUAUAUACUCCACCUGUCCAAGGCAGAACAAUCUCUGAGAAGAACCCUAGGGAAGGAUUUGUUAAGAAGGAUUUCAAGACACACUGGUGCAGAAACAUUCUUUUCACCAUUGUCCAAAAUGAAAGGAUGUUCACAAUCACAACAGACAGAACUGCAUGGCCGCUUACUUUUCAAUGCGUGUUCUGAGAAACAGACUUGCCAUUAAAACUAGAGGAGCGAACUGAUUGUUUUUGGCAAGGAUUCCAGUACCACAUUUUGACUUGGGAAAACUGGUGCAAAGCAUCUCAAAGCCUUUUUUACCCAUUUUUCACUCAUGUCAGGGGUGAGAGCACUAACUUUUGGGAGAACGGGUGAAUGCCCUGUUUGAUGCUAUUGUCCAUGCAAGGGCCAAGUCACGCCAAGAUGUUUGUAGGUGGAUGUCACCAACAUCUGGCCACCAUCCCAUGGCUUCUGGGAACAGAGAAAAUGGGAAAUGGAGCCCAAAAGACCUUCUCAUUGAUCCUGCUUGAUCUCUUCUCCUACCAAUUGCUUUAAGAAGACCAAAGAAGCGCAAGGAUGUUUACAAGCCACACCUAAAAUCAUGGCCCAACUUCCAUUUCAGUUCCUGGAUUACUGAUCUCAAGGAGGGCUGUGACCCCAGGUCUGGCUGGGGCUGCAGGAAGGAGGAGAGCUCAAUCCAAUAGCAUGGCUGGAGAACCUGAGUCUCAGGUGUUGUCAAAUGGGAAACAUCUGCAAUCCACUAGGCUCGUUAACAAAGAAAGAGGGAAGGAAAAUUAAAAGAGAGGAUAGAGAAUAUGCAUGGCUAAUAAAGAUUUUAUGUCUGUGAGCACAUAAUUAUAAACUUGAUAGAUGAUAUAAACAAACAAAUGGAAAAGGCAGCAAAGGAAACAGAAUGAGAAACAAGUUACACUCUGAGCAGGGGAAGCCACACCAGCGUGGAUACCCUAUCUCCUAAACUUUACUCUUGCUUCCCAACAUUUUUACCUUCUCUAGGAGCAAAUGCCAGCACACAUGCCAGAAUGAUGCUUGCUAACAUCACCCAACUACUCCUCACAAUGACAAGGGGUUCCCUUCCUUACAGGACUGGGCACCAGCAGGUCCUUCCCUAGCCCUUAGGUUUCAUACAACUACAAACUUCAUACCUCUGAGAGCUCUACACUGAAGGGCUUUAGCCAGACAGAUCACACGAUCAAACAGUUCUUCAGCCUAAAACACUAAUCCUUCCCAGACUCUAGGGAGAGGUGGAGAAAAGAAAAUGGAUAAAUGAAUUCAAAGUGUCCUUGCACUCUCUGCCUAUCGCACAAUGGCCCUUCAUCGAUCACACACAGCUACUGCCAAACAGCUACAGAGUAAUACAAACUCCACGUCUAUUAUAUCACAGAUUGUUGAUGUUUGCUUUGAGGAAGGAAAUAGAAAGGCUUUGUGUAAGUGUUUACAUCCAUCUAACCAUGUUACAAUAGAAACAUACUGAUCAUCACACAGGGCUGUUCAAGUUAGUAGGAGACUUAAGUAUUUCCACUUAAUUCAACAGACCUGCAAUUGGACCCUCUGAUGCUUUUCACAUUUAAAUAGGUACCUUUACAGAAUAACCAGGAAAUAUGCUUGGUUGACUGGAGUAAGAAAUGGCACAGAACAGAAAUAAACCCAGUGGAAUUUCUUCCUGAGCCCCAUGGGAACUCAAGGAUCCAUCACAUCACAGCAAGUGCCAAAAAGGUGCCAAGACUCUGGGUAUCACUGGGAACCUUCACCAAGCUUAUUAACUUUACUGAAAGGGAAAUGGUACGUAAGUAUGUGCCUUUUUUAGAUUAUGCUGCCAAGGCAAAACUGCUGUUCAUGGCAGUUUCACUGAACAAAGAGCUGCUAUGCUUUGUUCCCUUUAAGAGUGUGCUAGAAAAAGAAGUGCAAAUGCCUUAAAAGGGUAGGAGCUGCCACUAUCUCCAUUUCUGCUGAUGUCAAGGUCGUUUUGAAUGCAAUGGAUCCGACCUGGCAUGUCUGCACGCAUUUGUCAGUACUCUGCCUUAUGUUUGGAUCCACUAGUUGUAUCCACACGCACUGCACCCUUCUGGUAAGGACUGGAUGUAUCUGAUCCCUUCGGAGCACUGAGACCCAUGGGAAGAACCCCAAAGACCAUCUUCACCACCACCAAUCUCUCCAACUUUUAGAUUUUGAGAAACUUUGUACCAGUGUUCACACAGCAAUUGCAUCCCCUCCCUCCUCAGAUGGGCUGUGCUGAUGGCAUCCUGCUCCGUGCAGAUAGAACAGCAGGGGAAGCAGAGCAAUGCAAAGCGAAGUCUGUCAAAUUGGGCACUUACAUCUUAAGAGCAGCUGUAACUUUUAAUGACACAAAGGACAAUAGCAAUUCUGAUGGAGAUGAUUUCUGUAGCUAGUUUCAGGUGGUGAAUUUAUUGGCAGGAAGCAAGAAAGGGAAGAAAGUGACAAAGAACCCAAUGUAUAAAAUCGGAGGUGAAAAUGGUUUCCAUAUUACAGCUGAGGUGGGAAGUCAUAAACCAGGGGAGAUGAAUAAAGAGAAACUGGGACAGCGUUCACUGAAGAUACUCCUGGAGUUGAAAUUAGAAUCAUUUUCAUUGUUAUUGAAAUUGCCUGUGAUCUCAGGCAGAUUAGCGGGAGAUUGUAGGAAAGUUCAGAGGAUGCUUACAAUGGAGAAAUUUGGCAGAUGUCAAACUGCAGAGAACAGUGAGUCCCACCUGAAGGCGAGACAGAUUCCAGCACUGCUCCUUCUGCCCUUACUAUGAGCAGCACACAAGUCACUGUCUAGAUUGUGUUAGAAGUCUGGUAAAUGGCUCUAUGCAUGUGUACGUGUGUGCUGAUACAAUAAUGUGCAUGGGGCAAAAACUGCAAUCAUUUCUGUCACUUAAAAAAACAACCAAACACAUCCAUCCAACUUGGCAGAGACAGAGUAUCAGCUACACUAGGGCAACUGCAAUGGAUUUCCCAUUGGUGGAAAGUUGCUCAAAUAAACAAUCUGGUGAGUGAUUAUAGACGAGUAUAAUGACAGAAAACACCAUCGGGUUGCAAAUGAUUUUGCAACAGGAAAAAAGUACUAAGUCAUUAGAUAAUUUACUUGCAGUGAAAUACUGGAGCUGUAUCCUACUCACAUGGAGAACUGGCAAUACAAAUGAGAUGUGCCAUCCAAAACUUGAAAAAUGCUUGUACCAUGCUGCAGAUGGGCUAAAACAAGGAGCUGGAUUCCAAGAAGCUGAUGCUGAGAUGAGAUUCUGUUUUUCUAAGGGAGCCUUCAGUACAAGACUGGAAUGCAGUGACAUUUCUAACUCAGUGCAAAAGACAAGAGAUGCAAAUACGUUACAGAAAACAUUUUCUAUUGAUGGUCACUGCACCCUAUACUCGAUGCAGUCACAGCACAAGGAGGUUGAAGAUGACCUGCCUAAUUUUCUUUGCCCAGAGAUGCUCUAGCUUGUCAACCAAAGCUCUGUUCUGGUUGUUCCUAACUGAUACUCAUCUAUUCACAGCUACCACAGUCUCUCCAGCAGCCCAGUGGCUGGACUUUGCACUUCUAUCAUUGCUACAUGCCAUACAACCCAAUGGGUUUAUGAAUCUCCUGGGUCUGGAGAGCCACUCCCUUAUCAGCUGAUGAGAGAGAAAUGACCUUGAGCCAAGCACUGGCCCUUUUUCCAUGGGUGCUGCACAUCUGCAGUCUCGUGGUUGCUUUUUUCCACUGAGAGCAUAACAACAUGACUCUGCACUUCUGUAGGAAUGCUCUCUUUGUUUUGAUAUGUGUCUCAUUUUAUUCCUGACAAUGGUUGCGGACCCCAGGGCAGAGAGAAUCGAGGUCUACACUGCUUUGGAGAUGAUUUUUAUGACUUGAUUACAAUACUUUUUCAGUUCAGACAUGCACAGGGAGCAGGACUUCUUUCAAAAGACUACGGACAUGACAGACAGGACUGUGGCUCAAAUGUGGGAUGUACAGACCCAUUUGGACAUAGGCAGAAUGUCAGUGGGCACUUCACAUUUGUUAAGCUCCUUGUACAUUGGGAGGGAAACCGGGCCCAGCUGGCAGCUUUCUGCUCUUCAUUCCUCCCUGCCUGCUCUCACCAUUGCCCAUAAAGGAGCCAUGUCAAGGAUAAAUUCUCCUGGGGUAAGGAGAAGGGAACCAAUUUUGGGAAGCUGAUCCUUUCCAUGUUAACUUUCCCUACAGCUCAAUCUGCUGCUUCCUUCUUCAUCCAUGCCAGAAGAUGGGAGAAGGAGGCAAGAUCAGCAGCUUUUUGC